GGGAACAUGCCCUUCACUGCGGAAUAGCCUCUGGAAACGGAGAGUAAUACCGCAUACGCCCUUCGGGGAAAGAUUUAUCGGUGAAGGAUUGGCCCGCGUUAGAUUAGAUAGUUGGUGGGGUAAUGGCCUACCAAGUCUACGAUCUAUAGCUGGUUUGAGAGGAUGAUCAGCAACACUGGGACUGAGACACGGCCCAGACUCCUACGGGAGGCAGCAGUGGGGAAUCUUAGACAAUGGGCGAAAGUGAUCUAGCGAUGCCGCGUGAGUGACGAAGGCCUUAGGGUCGUAAAGCUCUUUCGCCAGGGAUGAUAAUGACAGUACCUGGUAAAGAAACCCCGGCUAACUCCGUGCCAGCAGCCGCGGUAAUACGGAGGGGGUUAGCGUUGUUCGGAAUUACUGGGCGUAAAGCGCGCGUAGGGGACUAUUAAGUCAGGGGUGAAAUCCCGGGGCUCAACCCCGAACUGCCUUUGAUACUGGUAGUCUUGAGUUCGAGAGAGGUGAGUGGAAUUCCGAGUGUAGAGGUGAAAUUCGUAGAUAUUCGGAGGAACACCAGUGGCGAAGGGGCUCACUGGCUCGAUACUGACGCUGAGGUGCGAAAGUGUGGGGAGCAAACAGGAUUAGAUACCCUGGUAGUCCACACCGUAAACGAUGAAUGCCAGACGUCAGGGGGCUUGCCUUUGGUGUCACACCUAACGGAUUAAGCAUUCCGCCUGGGGAGUACGGUCGCAAGAUUAAAACUCAAAGG
RNAcentral lists this ribosomal RNA (745 nucleotides) under uncultured bacterium. RNAcentral describes it as "bacterial SSU rRNA". It matches the Rfam family "Bacterial small subunit ribosomal RNA", at positions 120 to 907 of the family's 1533-position model. The record is from RNAcentral.